GUAUGGUGAUUACUGGAGGGAUGGUUCGGUGGUUGAUGUAUAGACCAGAGACUGAUGCAUGGGAUAACGAUCGAUGCUGGUGACGUUCUUGGUGGCCACAGGACUCAUGACUCCGCAUGGGAUUGGGGGUCAAUUGUGGAGACCUUUGGGGAUGGGCUUUUCAGCCUGGAUGAAUAUCGACAGGCUUCGAGGAUCCUCAUUGGUUAGCCCUCACUCUGAUCUGUUAGAAAUUAUGUCCCAAAGAGCCUAUUGAUGGUUGUGCUUAUCAUUGUAUAUGAAUUAUUGAAUUAAUAAANNNNNNNNNNNNNNNNNNNNCCUUAAAUGAGUUCGUGACCAAAUGAUAUGCUAUUACUAGGAUGAUAGACAUAUCAAGUGUAGGUCGUUGUGUGCCAUACAGGUUGGUUGUCCUCUUAACCAAGGAGCAUGGAGACGCUGGUAUGGCAUGCAGGUGAAAUAUAAGAGUAUAUUUCACUGAACAUGACCAACUCUGGAGUACUCUGCUGUCAAGAGUCACUCCGAAGGGAUAUAGAUAUAAGUAUCCCUCCGACCUAAAAUCACCACAGUGACUUGCAAGCAACUCACUAUACUUUGGUGCCAGACUACUUGAAUUUUUAAUUCAGCGAUGAAAAAUUUUUGAGCACAGUCAAGUACUUAUGAAGUCGGUGUGUGAGUCAAGAUAGAAUUGAUCCCUUCGAAUAAGUAGGAGUUAAUGUAUCAGUGUGUUUCAGUUCAGUAAAAUCUUGAUCGGAGUAAUCCAUGUGAUGGAUUUUAAAAAUUGAAAUACAAUGUGGAUGAUCAUAUCAGGGUUGGCAGUUAAAUCCUAGAUCACCUUGAGCAUUUGGGUCAAAGAGAUGAAUUAUACGGUAACUAUAUUCAAAUAGGUUCUGGAGUGUUGCUUAGCAUACAUUCGGCCUAUCUGAACGUCGUGUAUCAUUGUUAGAUGGUUACUCUGAUUGGUGCAGAAAUUAGUUCCUAUGCUACCGACUUAGGUUCGAACCUAUGAGGUCACAUACAUUAGAAGUUUCUAUCUGAUCAUAUGGCUAAUCUGAAGAGUCCCAGUCAAUGGAGACUCUAGUGAAGAGUCCCACUUGACGGGGACUCUGCUAAAGAGUCUCAUUAGACGGGGACUCUAGAGAAGAAUCCCACUAGACUUGGACUCUAUCAUUAAUAAAGGAUUAAUUAGUGAUUAGAUUACUAAUUAGCUCAAUUUGAUUGAGUAUUAAAGUUUGGAUCAAGUUUGAUUGAAUUUGAUUCAAUCAGGUCAAGUCUGAUUAGGUUAUGAGAUGACCUAAUCGGUAAGGGAGAAAUGAUCCUGAUUUGAUCAGAUCUAUGACUCAAUUAAUUUAUUAAUUUGAUUAAAUUUAAUUAAUAUUAUAAAAUUCUAAUUGAAUUAAGUUUAUCAUAUUUUAUUUUGAUCUAAUUGGAUUGGAUUUGAAAGAAAUCCAAUUGGUUAAACCCUAGAGUCCCAAAUGAGUAGGACUCUAUCCCUUGCGCCACCUAAAUUAUCUCACACCUUUUUUCACCACAC
RNAcentral lists this long non-coding RNA (1528 nucleotides) under Elaeis guineensis (African oil palm). RNAcentral's name for it is "long non-coding RNA (EGUI_LNC063135)". Lineage: Eukaryota; Viridiplantae; Streptophyta; Magnoliopsida; Arecales; Arecaceae. The record is from RNAcentral.